AGAGUGAACGCUGGCGGUAGGCCUAACACAUGCAAGUCGAACGGCAGCACAGUAGGAGCUUGCUCUUACGGGUGGCGAGUGGCGGACGGGUGAGGAAUACAUCGGAAUCCACCUUUUGGUGGGGGAUAACGUAGGGAAACUUACGCUAAUACCGCAUACGCCCUUCGGGGGAAAGCCGUCGGGACAGACAAGUCGCC
This 197-nucleotide ribosomal RNA is filed under the name uncultured soil bacterium. Its description in RNAcentral is "partial 16S ribosomal RNA". It matches the Rfam family "Bacterial small subunit ribosomal RNA", at positions 26 to 219 of the family's 1533-position model. The record is from RNAcentral.